RNAcentral lists this long non-coding RNA (319 nucleotides) under Hordeum vulgare. Its description in RNAcentral is "long non-coding RNA (HVUL_LNC012835)". Lineage: Eukaryota; Viridiplantae; Streptophyta; Magnoliopsida; Poales; Poaceae. The record is from RNAcentral.
CGCCGGACCAGCGUGAGGGUCCGCGCGCGAAUCUGCCGUCCCCGCCGCUGCGAGCGGCGCCCGCGGGGCCUGAAGGGUCGGCGGAGCGGUCGCUGCCGCGGUGCAUGUGGUGGGCAGAAGGUGGCUAGGGUUUUGACGCGGCUCGCGAGCACGAGAGGGGGAAGGCGAAGGCGAAGAGAGAGGCCGUGUGGAAUUUCAACUCCGCCUCGUAAAGUGCCAAUGGCCGUGAGGAUCAGAUUGGAUCCGAUGGGCGACCGACGGCAGUCUGCUGCCCCGGCGUACCCCUUCCGUUUCUGCCAACGGACAACGUAAUUUCGGG